ACUCAACGUUAAUUCUUUAAAAAGGGUGAGUUUAAGUUGUAAAAGCAUGCUGCUGUAUUGAAUUUAUUUCAAUACCUAGCAGACCCUUGAUCAGCUUGUUAGCCCUAAACUUGUUUUUAAGGAGUUU
RNAcentral lists this small RNA (127 nucleotides) under Flavivirga aquatica. RNAcentral's name for it is "Algibacter sp. SK-16 6S-Flavo RNA". It matches the Rfam family "6S-Flavo RNA". Lineage: Bacteria; Pseudomonadati; Bacteroidota; Flavobacteriia; Flavobacteriales; Flavobacteriaceae. The record is from Rfam by way of RNAcentral.